This 497-nucleotide ribosomal RNA is filed under the name uncultured bacterium. Its description in RNAcentral is "partial 16S ribosomal RNA". It matches the Rfam family "Bacterial small subunit ribosomal RNA", at positions 28 to 507 of the family's 1533-position model. The record is from RNAcentral.
GAUGAACGCUGGCGGCGUGCCUAAUACAUGCCAGUCGAGCGAACAGACGAGGAGCUUGCUCCUUUGACGUUAGCGGCGGACGGGUGAGUAACACGUAGGUAACCUACCUAUAAGACUGGGAUAACUUCGGGAAACCGGAGCUAAUACCGGAUAAUAUUUCGAACCGCAUGGUUCGAUAGUGAAAGAUGGCUUUGCUAUCACUUAUAGAUGGACCUGCGCCGUAUUAGCUAGUUGGUAAGGUAACGGCUUACCAAGGCAACGAUACGUAGCCGACCUGAGAGGGGGAUCGGCCACACUGGAACUGAGACACGGUCCAGACUCCUACGGGAGGCAGCAGUAGGGAAUCUUCCGCAAUGGGCGAAAGCCUGACGGAGCAACGCCGCGUGAGUGAUGAAGGUCUUCGGAUCGUAAAACUCUGUUAUUAGGGAAGAACAAACGUGUAAGUAACUGUGCACGUCUUGACGGUACCUAAUCAGAAAGCCACGGCUAACUACGUG